AAAUAAGGGAGUAAAAGCAGGCCACCUGAACCCCAGCAACAGCUGCUGGGUCUCUUUCUGCUAUGUGGGUGCUUUGUCUUUGGCUCUUUGCAAUAAAUGUUGCUGCUGUUCACUCUUUAGGUUCACACUAACUCUGUGAGCUGUGACACUCACUGGGAAGGUCUGCAGUUUUGCUCCUGAAGCCCGUGAGACCACAAAAACCCACCGGAAGGAACGAACGGCUCUGGACCUUUAUGAGCUGUAACACUCACCAGGAAGGUUUGCAGCUUCGCUCUUGAAGCCAGCGAGACCACGAACCCGCUGGGAGAAAGGAAUAACUGCGGAUGUGCCACCUUUGUGAGCCUGAGCAGUAACCGGAAAGACCACGAACCCACCGGGAGGAACAACUCCGGACGUGCUGCCUUUGAGAGCUGUAACAUUCACUGCGAAGGUCUGCAGCUUCACUUCUGAAGUCAGCGAGACCACGAGACCACGAACCCACCAGAAGGCAGAAUCUCCGGACACAUCUGAACAUGUGAAGAGACAAACUCCGAACACACUAUCUUUAAGAACUUUAACACUCACCGCAGGGGUUCGCGGCUUCAUUCUUGAAAUCAGCCAGACCAAGAACCCAUGAUGUUAAUUGCAGGUGUCCUUCCUGGAGACCUGCUUCCUGCUCCAUCCACAGAGGUCGCUUUCCCACCUGCUGGGUGGAAAAUCCUGGAGGAAGAGCGAGGGCGAGAGAUGUGGCAAACGUUAACACACGAGGUUCCGUGCAUGUCUAGGAGCUACUUGAACUCACAGGAAUUAGCCAUAAUUUUUCAAACGACACAAACUGAAUGUGUUCCCUGAGACAGCCGCAGCAGCAGCCAGCUUUGCUGGAAGGAAUUGACUGGAGUGUUUUCUUCAUUCUGAAUCUGCUUUCCCUGCCUGUCCCCAGCAGAUGUGGGCCAGCCUUAUGGAAAGACUCAUUCUAGAGAUGGAGUUUCACCGUGUUAGCCAGAAUGGUCUCAAUCUCCUGACCUCAUGAUCCACCCGCCUCAGCCUCCGGAAGUGCUGGGAUUACAGGCGUGAGCCACCGUGCCCGGCCAAUAGUGAACUGGGAGCUCACUUUAAGGGUAUCUGGAGGAAGCCUUGACUCAAAGAAGAAGGAGCUCUGACUGGCCCAGGCUCACAAGAAUGGAGGCAGCCCUGCUUGCUGGUCUUGGAUGAUAAUCUGGUGACUGGCUCCAGGUGGCCAAGCCUAUUUGAAUGUCUCUCUGCAGCUCAGACUCUUGAGCAGGGCCUCAUGCGGCUUUUGGAAGUACUAAUGGGAUAGCAGAUGUGGCUACAGGUAAUUAUAAUGCAGGCUCCAGCAAGGCCUCUCUGCCCCUCCAGCUGCAGUAAGUCCUGCCUCUUAGUUUCACUCACAUCACACCAGUGCAAAGUUCAGCCCCUUCACCAGUUUCCACCCUACAAAAUCAGAAACCCACUUGCACCAAGUGUGGCCUGAGAUUAGCCACUUUAGUGACUAGCAAGGGGUGAUAGAGUGAAAGCCACUCCCAUUACCUUCUCCUUCCCUGUCUCCUCCCCUCUUUCUCUCCGGAGUGACAGACGCCUCUCCUUGUCCUAUUCACUUCUGCAACAGUCUUUGGCACUCGGCCAUGACCUUGGGGCCUUACUCUUCUUCCCAAGGGAGGAUAUUAAACAAUUUCUUCCUCCAAAAUAUAGUAUUUUCUUCUGCAAGGGGGAGCCUGAGGAAUGACAUUUCUCCAUCUCAUUACAUAACUGCGCCUGGGAGAUUUAACAAGGGCAAAUAUUUUUUUGAAGCCCAGAGAUUUGAUAGAUUUUAUACAAAAACUGAGGGAGUGAGAGCAAAUCCAUCCACAAAAAGGUUGAGAAACAUGCGCUUGGGCUGCUAUUUAUUUAGAACUGCUGAUCAGGAGGUUACGGCUGUGAAGAGGUUUGUGCACAUGGCACUCUCUGUCAGAGUGCAUUUCGCUCAAGUUUCAUUGCAGUUUGGGAUAAACGCCUGAUUUCUUAAUAGGAAAUCCAAGGAUGCCAGAAUUUUCUCUCAUUUAAACACAGAGGUCAUUUACUCAUGGUUUCCUGUUUUGCCUUCAUUUUUGAUGAUCUAGACUUUGCCAAAGAAUUAGUUCUUAUGUCAAAAGUCCUUGCAGACUGUCAUUUAUCAUUGUCUUUUAAAUUCCAAGUUUUGAAGUGCUACUAGUCAGUGGUGGAACUGAGGCCACAUGGGAAGUAGUUUGUCAUUUCUGAGUUCCCAGUACUCUUGGUCAUUGGGGAUCAAUAAAUAUCUGUCCCAUCUCUCUUGCCCACCCCUAGCUUCCCUUCCCACCAAAUCCUGACCCCAAUCCUCUUUUCCUUCCAAACCAGUUAAAGACAAAGUAAAAUCUACCACAACAGAAACAAAGUUCACUUCUAACAUUCAAACUAUUUCACGGAUUUGGAGAUGAUGUGAAAAUGCAUUUGACUCAGGAGUUGAGCAGAAUGCUGAACUAUUUUAACAAAGUCGGGUGCAAUAGGUUCAUUGCUGAAAGAACCUUUCCAUCUCUGGAUGGAAGAAUUAUAACAUUAGCUCAUUUUGUUAAGUGAUUACAAUGCUUACAUGGAUAAUUUCAUUCAAUCCUCUAUGGUGGGAUUAUUCUUAUCCCCAUUUUACAGCUAAGGAAACAGGUUUGGAGAGAAUAGGCAACUUGCCUCAAGGUUGCUCAGCUAGUAUGACUUUAGGGUCAGAGUUUCUGCCCCAGGGGUCUGCUCUAGCACAUGCCCUUGACUGCUGAGCUGCGCUGAUGCUGGAGGUUGGUGUCCAAGGUACUGGCCUGUAGUAAAGAAAGUAUAGAGGAAGCUGUUUUUUCAGUGGGGAUCUCUGCAUUUAAAUUAUUUAACUGGAAGUAGCAGGAUUUUUUUUCUCUAUCUUCUGCCAAGCCUGAUAGGUGCUUGAAACUGCAUUCUCCAUCCAGCAGCCAGUCGGUUCUACCCCACACAUUCCUUUUCUAUCUCACGCCAUUUGCAGUUGCUGUGUCCUCUGCCAGAAAUGCUCUUCCCCCAGAGGUUUGCACAGCCUGCUCUGUCCAUUGUCAGCUCAAAUGUCUCCUUCACAUAGAGGCCUUUGCUGACAAUCUUUGGAUUGAUGAUCAUAUUUCCCUGUUUAUUUAUCUCAUAAGUAAUUGCCUUGUUUGUUUGAUUUUCAUUCAUUGUUCUCCCACCAACAGGAAGGCUUUUCCCAUUUCCACUGACACAUUUCAGUGUUUGGAGCAGCGACUAGUACCUACUAGAUGCUCAAUAAACAUUUGCUGAGUGAACAAAUGAAUGAAUGAAUGAAUGAGUGACCAUAACUUGCUGAUUAGCAGUUCUAAAUACAUUUGCAUAAAUAUUAAUUGUUGGCCAAACUGAAAGCUCUAGGAGUAUGGUAUAGUGCGUUUUCAAGAGGAAACCCCUCCAUGUAUUUCAGCUCAGUUAGGACACACGCAGGGCUUCAGAGAUUAAUGCAGGUCUUGGUCACAUGUGUAAGAAAUAGUCCUUCCCAAUGGGAGUGUAACUUUCGCAUUGAAAAAUGAAUCCUCUCUGAGUGCCAUGGCUUACUCCUGUAAUCCUAGCACUUUGGGAGGCCUCGGCAAGGGACUGCUUGAGCCCAGGAGUUCGAGAGCAGCCUGGGCAACGUGGCAAAACCCCUUCUCUGCAAAAAAUAUGAAACUUCACCAGGUGUAGUGAAGGUGUGGUGGUGCAUGUCUGUAGUCCCAGUUUCUCAGGAGGCUGAGGUAGGAGGAUCACUUGAGCCCAGAAGGUGGAGGUUGCAGUACCAGCCUGGGUGACAGAGUGAGACCCCCUCUCAC
Long non-coding RNA from Symphalangus syndactylus (siamang), 3812 nucleotides. RefSeq lists it as uncharacterized. Lineage: Eukaryota; Metazoa; Chordata; Mammalia; Primates; Hylobatidae. The record is from RefSeq and is a predicted model, not a curated record.